Molecule: transfer RNA, 73 nt
Filed under: Agrilus planipennis (emerald ash borer)
Lineage: Eukaryota; Metazoa; Arthropoda; Insecta; Coleoptera; Buprestidae
Rfam family: tRNA
About the family: Transfer RNA (tRNA) molecules are approximately 80 nucleotides in length. Their secondary structure includes four short double-helical elements and three loops (D, anti-codon, and T loops).
Source: Rfam by way of RNAcentral
CCUCUUAUAGCUUAAUGGCUAAAGCAUUGGUACGUAAAGCCAAAAGUACCGGGUUCAAUUCCCGGCGAGGGUG